Molecule: ribosomal RNA, 443 nt
Filed under: uncultured bacterium
Lineage: Bacteria
Description: partial 16S ribosomal RNA
Rfam family: Bacterial small subunit ribosomal RNA
Source: RNAcentral
CCUACGGGAGGCAGCAGUGGGGAAUAUUGGGCAAUGGGCGCAAGCCUGACCCAGCAAUGCCGCGUGAAGGAAGAAGGCCCUCGGGUUGUAAACUUCUUUUAUCAGGGACGAAGGAUGUGACGGUACCUGAUGAAUAAGCUCCGGCUAACUACGUGCCAGCAGCCGCGGUAAUACGUAGGAGGCAAGCGUUAUCCGGAAUGACUGGGCGUAAGGGGUGCGUAGGUGGUUUGACAAGUUGGUAGCGUAACUCCGAGGCUUAACCUCGGCACUACUACCAAAACUGUUGGACUCGAGUGCAGGAGGGGCAAAUGGAAUUCCUAGUGUAGCGGUGGAAUGCGUAGAUAUUAGGAGGAACACCAGUGGCGAAGGCGAUUUGCUGGACUGUAACUGACACUGAGGCACGAAAGCGUGGGGAGCAAACAGGAUUAGAUACCCGUGUAGUC